Pelobates cultripes (western spadefoot toad) is the source of this 274-nucleotide non-coding RNA. The record is from the annotation of a GenBank genome assembly. Lineage: Eukaryota; Metazoa; Chordata; Amphibia; Anura; Pelobatidae.
CGUGUGUCUGUUUAGUAGUGAUCUAUCAAUACCGACUACAAAACACUUUACUAGUGGAAAUGUGCUUAUCUGCAAUUACCAUUGUCAAGUUGUCUGCCACCGUAAUAUAAUAGUGUGCUCUAAUAAAUAUUUCACCAAGGUGCCAUUUACAACUUUUUCAUUAGUGGGCUAGUAUAGAUGUCCAAACAGCUAUUGUCUUUAUAAGAUGGUUUUUCUAUAGUACUAUUUUUCUUUUUUGUGGUUAGUUCUUGUGAAAGUCCUAGUUGGACUUUCU